ACCUGCUCAGCUGGAUAAGCCUUUAAUCAUGGAAAGAAGGCUCCUAAAGAAGGAAAUGAAAAAGCUCCUGGGAGAUUAUAUUGGCAUCAGACUUCGGGAAAAUGAAUUUGACCCAAAAGGAAGAAGGCAACUCACGUUUCUAGAUGAUAUGGCACACUAUGACUUGGCUAUCAACGUCGCUUUGCAAUGGCUGGAUCACUCAGAAGACUUAACUUGGCUGGAGUGGGAGAAAGUGAAAAUGUCAUUUCGGGGUAGACCCAUAUAUCCAAACCACAAAGAACGAGAAGCAAUGAUUUUAUCAUCUUAUGCUGGAAUCUUAAUGAACAGUAUUCCAAUUGAGGAAGUCUUUAAAAUUUAUGGGGCUGGCUCUUCUUCCAGUUCUGGUGCUGCCAAGAAGCAGGAGCCAAAAGCUGGGAUUGCUAUGGGAAAUGAGGUUCCCCGAGCUCCACCCUUCCGCCUCUCCUUGCACCCUUUGGCCAUGUUAACAGCUCCCAAAGCCGCAGAAUAUGCCCGCAAGCAGAGUGUCAAGCUAAGAAGGGCAGCAAUGAGCAAAAAUGCCACCAGCGGUUCUACAAGGAAAGCAAAUGCCAUGGAAUGGAAAUCAUCAAAAAAUUUAUCUUUGGACACACAGUCAAAGAACAAACCAUUGAAGACUGUUGGCUUCUUGAUGGAAGCAGAUCUUUUAUUCCCUUUUUAUUUCCCACAUGGAUGUAAAGUGCUUUCCAGGCAGUAGAUAUUCAGUAGUUAUUGUUGAUUAAUGAAUCAGCAGUGAGUGGUCCUUAGGUCACUUAGAAACUUGGAAUUGCACCAGGGGAGUUCAUAAUAAAGUCUCUGGAAGAAGGGAACCAUCAUCUUAAAACUGCAACUCUUGCCAGCAUAUUUUUCUUUGCAGUUAGCUUUUGAUGCGAAGUGCAUUGAAGUGUUAUUUUGGAUGUUGAGCUUUCUUCAAUUAGAAUCAGGUUGUUUGGCCAUAUUGUGGUUAAUAGCAAGUAUGUAUCUUAUGCUACUUCAUUGUGACUGGAAGAUGGUUGGCUGGAGAAUUUUGAGAAUAUAUACUAUUUCUGUGUUAGAAUAGGCUGACUUUGCAGCACAUUUUACAAAUGUUUAGCACUGAACAUUGCAGAAUAGUGGAGUAGGAGGCAGUUUUCCAAAGUUUCAAUCCAAAAUAAAAUUAACCUUCAUCAAUUGCCUUUACUAUGUACUCACAUGGAAACAUUUAAACUCAUUUCAAUAAAGCCUUAAAAGAAAAAUGAA
Cervus elaphus (red deer) is the source of this 1254-nucleotide RNA transcript. It is a transcript of the gene named chromosome 8 C2orf80 homolog, with no coding region annotated. The record is from RefSeq and is a predicted model, not a curated record. The transcript has 10 exons. Lineage: Eukaryota; Metazoa; Chordata; Mammalia; Artiodactyla; Cervidae.